UUGAACGCUGGCGGCAUGCCUUACACAUGCAAGUCGAACGGUAACAGGUCUUCGGAUGCUGACGAGUGGCGAACGGGUGAGUAAUACAUCGGAACGUGCCCGAUCGUGGGGGAUAACGCAGCGAAAGCUGUGCUAAUACCGCAUACGAUCUACGGAUGAAAGCAGGGGACCGCAAGGCCUUGCGCGGACGGAGCGGCCGAUGGCAGAUUAGGUAGUUGGUGGGAUAAAAGCUUACCAAGCCGACGAUCUGUAGCUGGUCUGAGAGGACGACCAGCCACACUGGGACUGAGACACGGCCCAGACUCCUACGGGAGGCAGCAGUGGGGAAUUUUGGACAAUGGGGGCAACCCUGAUCCAGCCAUUCCGCGUGAGUGAAGAAGGCCUUCGGGUUGUAAAGCUCUUUCAGCCGGAACGAAACGGUACGCUCUAACAUAGCGUGCUAAUGACGGUAGCAUAUGAAUAAGCACCGGCUAACUCCGU
This 480-nucleotide ribosomal RNA is filed under the name uncultured bacterium. RNAcentral describes it as "bacterial SSU rRNA". It matches the Rfam family "Bacterial small subunit ribosomal RNA", at positions 30 to 506 of the family's 1533-position model. The record is from RNAcentral.